AUGCAGGGAUGCGACGAGGAAGGCCAGGGCCAUUUGGAAUUAAAUCUGGCAAGAGAUGUCAAGGACAACAAGAAGGGCUUCUUCAAAUACAUCAGCAGCAAGAGGAAGACUAGGGAAAAUGUGGGCCCUUUGCUGAAUGGAGUGGGUGCCCUGGUGACGAAGGAUGCAGAGAAGGCAGAGUUACUGAAUGCCUUCUUUGCUUCAGUCUUUCCUGCUCAGGCCAGCCCUCAGGAACCCCAGACCCUGGAGACAAGAGAGAAAGUCUGGAGGAAGGAAGACUUUCCCUUGGUCGAGGAGGAUCAGGUUAGAGAUCAUUUAAGCAAACUUGACACCCACAAAUCCAUGGGACCCGAUGGGAUGCACCCACGAGUGCUGAGGGAGCUGGCGGACAUUAUUGCUAAGCCACUCUCCGUCAUCUUUGAAAUGUCCUGGAGAACAGGAGAGGUGCCUGUGGACUGGAAGAAAGCCAAUGUCACCCCAGUCUUCAAAAAGGGCAAGAAGGAGGACCCAGGGAACUACAGGCCAGUCAGCCUCACCUGCAUCCCUGGAAAGGUGAUGGAGCAGCUYAUCCUGGAGGCCAUCUCCAAGCAUGUGGAGGACAAGAAAGUGAUCAGGAGUAGUCAGCAUGGCUUCACCAAGGGGAAAUCAUGCCUAACCAACCUGAUAGCCUUCUAUGAUGGAAUGACUGGCUGGGGAGAUGAGGGGAGAGCAGUGGAUGUUUUCUACCUUGACUUCAGCAAGGCUUUUGACACUGUCUCCCAUAGCAUCCUCAUAGACAAGCUCAGGAAGUGUGGGUUAGAUGAGUGGACAGUGAGGUGGAUUGAGAACUGGCUGAAUGGCAGAGCUCAGAGAGUUGUGAUCAGCAGCGCAGAGUCUAGGUGGAGGCCUGUAGCUAGCGGUGUCCGGUCUUGUUCAACUUCUUCAUCAAUGACCUGGAUGAAGGGACAGAGUGCACCCUCAGCAAGUUUGCUGAUGAUACAAAACUGGGAGGAGUGGCUGAUACGCCAGAGGGCUGUGCUGCCAUUCAGAGAGACCUGGACAGGCUGGAGAGGUGGGUGGAGAGGAACCUCCUGA
Molecule: long non-coding RNA, 1074 nt
Filed under: Apteryx haastii (Great spotted kiwi)
Lineage: Eukaryota; Metazoa; Chordata; Aves; Apterygiformes; Apterygidae
Description: lncRNA (ENSAHAG00000015919.1)
Source: RNAcentral